GACGAACGCUGGCGGCGUGCCUAAUACAUGCAAGUCGAACGAGAGCGACCGGUGCUUGCACUGGUCAAUCUAGUGGCGAACGGGUGAGUAACACGUGGGUAACCUGCCCAUCAGAGGGGGAUAACAUCCGGAAACGGAUGCUAAAACCGCAUAGGUCUUCGAACCGCAUGGUUUGAAGAGGAAAAGAGGCGCAAGCUUCUGCUGAUGGAUGGACCCGCGGUGCAUUAGCUAGUUGGUGAGGUAACGGCUCACCAGGGCCGUGAUGCAUAGCCGACCUGAGAGGGUGAUCGGCCACAUUGGGACUGAGACACGGCCCAAACUCCUAAGGGAGGCAGCAGUAGGGAAUCUUCCGCAAUGGACGCAAGUCUGACGGAGCAACGCCGCGUGAGUGAAGAAGGUUUUCGGAUCGUAAAACUCUGUUGUUAGAGAAGAACAAGUGCUAGAGUAACUGUUAGCGCCUUGACGGUAUCUAACCAGAAAGCCACGGCUAACUACGCG
This 498-nucleotide ribosomal RNA is filed under the name uncultured bacterium. RNAcentral's name for it is "partial 16S ribosomal RNA". It matches the Rfam family "Bacterial small subunit ribosomal RNA", at positions 28 to 507 of the family's 1533-position model. The record is from RNAcentral.